CACCAUUUCCCAUUAAUCAUAAAAUAAUCAUUUAGCAUUCCCAUAUGCUUCUGUUGAUUAAAAAAUAAUCAACAAGAUCCUUGCACUCCUUCUGUUUCAUAAAGUUUUCUAAUGCAAUAAGUUGAUCAUAACGAGGAGCUCUAGAUUUCUUCUGUUACUGCAGCUUAACAUUAUUAACGAAGUAUGACUUACUAUCUUAACAUUAUAUAUCAAAGCAAAUGGCAGAUUGGCUUGCCAUUGACCGGAAAGAAUAAAAGAUUGGAAGGUGAAAUAGGUCUGG
RNAcentral lists this long non-coding RNA (280 nucleotides) under Elaeis guineensis (African oil palm). RNAcentral's name for it is "long non-coding RNA (EGUI_LNC037214)". Lineage: Eukaryota; Viridiplantae; Streptophyta; Magnoliopsida; Arecales; Arecaceae. The record is from RNAcentral.